GAGGGUAUAGCUCAGUGAUACAGCACGUGCUUAGCAUUCACAAGGUCCUGGGUUCAAUCCCCAAUACCUCCA
This 72-nucleotide transfer RNA is filed under the name Camelus bactrianus (Bactrian camel). It matches the Rfam family "tRNA". From Rfam's summary of the family: Transfer RNA (tRNA) molecules are approximately 80 nucleotides in length. RNAcentral also lists the same sequence under 2 other names. Lineage: Eukaryota; Metazoa; Chordata; Mammalia; Artiodactyla; Camelidae. The record is from Rfam by way of RNAcentral.